Saimiri boliviensis boliviensis (Bolivian squirrel monkey) is the source of this 2740-nucleotide non-coding RNA. NCBI's taxonomy places the organism in Eukaryota, Metazoa, Chordata, Mammalia, Primates, Cebidae. The record is from RefSeq and is a predicted model, not a curated record.
UUUAAGCCACGUGGCCUUGCUCUGUCGCCCAGGCUACAGUGCAGUCGUGUGAUGCCAUGCCAGGAAGGAGGUGACGCAAGCACGCCCUCGGCCACCCUAGCUGGUGUCUCACCAGGUUGUAUGCACCCCAAGUCCGCUGGCUCUAGACUGCCUUUCAAGUUUACUUAGGUCUCCAGAGCAACUUCACCCACACACGGGGCUACGGCUGCUCUAAAUGCUGCCUCCAGUGCACCAGCUGAGUUCUGCCCCGAGUGGCUUUCUGCUGUAACAGGGCAGCGCUGAGUUUCAAUGCAAUGUCCCACAAUCACUGUGCUCUCCCUCCCUCAGGCGGACAGACUCUUCCUUCACACCACGAGACCACUGCAGGGCACGACGGAAAGGCGGUGUCAGUGAAUCAAGGCUGCCUUUCCUACCUCAGUACCUCUUUCCUCAAUGGGAUCCUAAACCAGAGAAAAGAUAUGACUCAUAAAUAACAUUUAAGCCUGAAGUACACAACUUGUACAAGAUCUGUGGGGGAGCGUGAGAUGGAAAGACUGGGCCACAGCCGAGGGGGUCUGGGCCACUCCUGCCUGGUCCAUGCAUGGCUACUUGCAGGGCCACCAGGAGGAUCCACAGCCACAGCUUCCCAGAGAGAAGAGGAGGGGGAAGCCUGGGCAACUCUCCAUCACCAAGGAGGCGCAGUGCCUGGGGAAGAAGGCAUUCCAAGGAAACUGAUGACGACAAACUCUGCAAUCUACCUACAGGCAGGACGUGUUGGGAACUGCUGCCUAAAAACAGUAGCUCUCAGGUAGCCAGUCUUCCCCAGAAAAGGUUCCAGACCUUGUUCUUCCAUAAAUCUGGGGAGAGGGAAGGUGGUGCUAAGUCACAGGAGGAGCUACCUGCAGGUUUCAAGGUCUCUGUUUUUAACAUUCGGUAAGGAUUUGAAGGUCAUGGUAAAGCUUUCUGAUCCCUACCCUCUCUCAAAGAAAGUGUCUCAUGGGCAGAGAGACAGUUUUGGUUGGCAGCUUUGAAUCUGCCUGCUUGAGAUCCUGCAAACGUCAGGAUCAGCCCAUGCAGCCACCGACACCCAUGUGUACCCAACCCAACCCAGCCCAGCACGGCACGGUGUGGUGCAGCGCGACCCCACUGCCACACCCCUCUGCUAGGCCCCAACACCCAAGCUGGCCUGGCAGCCAGCUGGGACUCCUACCCUCUCCACACUCCACGGGGCAGGGGGAAGGCAGAGAACCUGGUGUCGGUGCAGGGACUCUGCUGUGUCCGUCUGUAGGCGUCACAAUCCGUGCUGUUUCCGUGCACGGGCCUCCGAUGGGCUUUCAGAGCAAAAGGCACAGAAAAGCAGCCUCUCUCCCACCCUCAGCAACACAGCACCAGCAAAGGGCACGCAAGGCCACGCGAAAAGGCAGGUGACGGCUCCACACGGGAGCUCGAGAGCCACAGCCUACGGCCCACUGCAGUCUGCUUCCUGGCCACACCCAGGAAAUCCACAAAAGGCGAGAGUCUUUUUCUGUCUCAAGGUAUUAGAAACUCUCCUCUCUUUUCAGACAGGUCCUCCAAUGGGGAUCCCAUGACAGCCGACUUCACAAGCACUUCCUACAGCCUUAUUAGACUUCCUGCAGCUUAGAAAUGCAAACAUGUCCUCAGACUAAUGUUAGAAUUAUUAGAACCAAAACCCUGAGUGACGGGCCUCUGCUCCCAAUACCCACACCCGCGGCGAACCACCGGCACAUCUUACCGUUGUUCACCUGGCCGUGGACCGCAGUGGGGGCUGGCGACACGUGAGUGCCGUUUUGUGUUACAGUUUUUAUUGGUAGCUGGUGUUGACCUAGAGGUGCCUGUUGUACUAUGGUCACCGUCUGGACCGGGGUGGUCUGUGCCGUCUGGAUGAUCCGGCUAGCAGUGCCUAGCGUGGCAUGGCCAAUGGCGGGAAUAGGCUCCACUUUCACUGAAAGGAAAAGGAAAAGAAACGCCACUAAUGUUACUACUGGAAAGCAGACAAAGGUCUUACCAGUUUAAAAUAUAAUCAGCAGAUGGUUAUCGGGCCUGCUAGAAGACGCCUCUAAAACAGCGCGAAUGAGAAAGGGUGAAGAACUCCUACGGGCGUCCCAGAGUGCGAGGCUGGAGGGAGCAGCCUCUCUGUGCCCACUGCCCACCUUUGACUUCCCUGUGAUCUCCGUUCUCCUGGGGCUCUGCCUUGGCAGGGGCCAGCACAGCUGCAGGGGCGACCACGGCUUGUCCAGAGACGGUGUACGUGCUCGCUGGGGCCAGCCCGGCCACGCCGGCGACCGACGCUGCUGGUAUCUGGUGGACGACGUGGACCGUCUGCACGGCGGGUGGCUGGGAGGUCGAGGUGGCCACCGGGGUGGCUACAGUGUAGGUGACAGGCUUGACGGCCUGCGGUAGCUGCCGCUGGACGGUGAUUAAGACUGGCUGACUGGACAGAGGUGACCCUGGUGAAAGACACGAGCAGGACCGACACUCACAGAUACUGACUUCCGCAAACACAGAUUCCCACACUAAGCACUGACAACACACAAACUUGAAUUUAAAAUACUGGGCGUGGCCCUAUUUUACCUCAUAAUAGCGAAGUUGCUAACGAUGAGGGAGGUGUCGUAUUUUAACAGGGGUAUUUAAUUCCCCUCUGUAACUCCUAAAAAGGCAAUUUUGGCUCUGUUUAGAUACCUCAUAACCCCUCUUCCUACAGUUCCUUUUUCAUAAAAAAAGAAAAUGUCAAUACACAACA